CCUACGGGUGGCAGCAGUGAGGAAUAUUGGUCAAUGGACGAGAGUCUGAACCAGCCAAGUAGCGUGAAGGAUGACUGCCCUAUGGGUUGUAAACUUCUUUUAUAUGGGAAUAAAACGUUCCACGUGUGGGAUUUUGUAUGUACCAUAUGAAUAAGGAUCGGCUAACUCCGUGCCAGCAGCCGCGGUAAUACGGAGGAUCCGAGCGUUAUCCGGAUUUAUUGGGUUUAAAGGGAGCGUAGGUGGAUUGUUAAGUCAGUUGUGAAAGUUUGCGGCUCAACCGUAAAAUUGCAGUUGAAACUGGCAGUCUUGAGUACAGUAGAGGUGGGCGGAAUUCGUGGUGUAGCGGUGAAAUGCUUAGAUAUCACGAAGAACUCCGAUUGCGAAGGCAGUUCACUGGACUGAAACUGACACUGAGGCUCGAAAGUGUGGGUAUCAAACAGGAUUAGAUACCCUUGUAGUC
This 460-nucleotide ribosomal RNA is filed under the name uncultured bacterium. Its description in RNAcentral is "partial 16S ribosomal RNA". It matches the Rfam family "Bacterial small subunit ribosomal RNA", at positions 338 to 795 of the family's 1533-position model. The record is from RNAcentral.